GUAGGCGAUGGACAACAGGUUGAAAUUCCUGUACCGGUGUGAAUCGUUUGAUCGAAGGAGUGACACAGUAAGGUAGGUCAGCACGCGAUUGGAAGUGCGUGUUUAAGCAUGUAGGUUGAGUUAUAGGCAAAUCCGUAACUCUAAAAGCUGAGAUGUGAUGACGAGCUGUUUACAGCGAAGUGAUUGAUCCUACACUGUCGAGAAAAGCUUCUAGGUAGAGACACAUCGCCCGUACCAAAACCGACACAGGUAGGCGGGGAGAGAAUCCUAAGGUGCGCGGGAAAACCCUCGUUAAGGAACUCGGCAAAAUGCCUCCGUAACUUCGGGAAAAGGAGGACUCAUGUAGUGUGAAGGGCAGUAACGCGUGGAGCAUGAAUGAGUGGCACAAGAGAGGCGCAAGCGACUGUUUACCACAAACACAGGUGCCUGCUAAAGCGAAAGCUGAUGUAUAGGUGCUGACACCUGCCCGGUGCUGGAAGGUUAAGAGGAGGGGUUAGACUUCGGUCGAAGCUCUGAAUUGAAGCCCCAGUAAACGGCGGCCGUAACUAUAACGGUCCUAAGGUAGCGAAAUUCCUUGUCGGGUAAGUUCCGACCCGCACGAAAGGUGUAACGACUUGCGCACUGUCUCAACGAGGGACCCGGUGAAAUUGAAGUACCUGUGAAGAUGCAGGUUACCCGCGACUGGACAGAAAGACCCCAUGGAGCUUUACUGCAACCUAAGAUUGAACUUAGUUAAUGAAUGUACAGGAUAGGUGGGAGACUUAGAAUCUAGGGCGCCAGUCUUAGAGGAGUCGUUGUUGGGAUACCACCCUUUGAUUAAUUGAUUUCUAACAGGCCGAUUAACAACCGGCUGGACAGUCUUAGGCGGGCAGUUUGACUGGGGCGGUCGCCUCCUAAAGAGUAACGGAGGCGCCCAAAGGUUCCCUCAGAGCGGACGGAAAUCGCUCGAAGAGUGUAAAGGCAGAAGGGAGCUUGACUGCGAGACGGACAGGUCGAGCAGGGACGAAAGUCGGGCUUAGUGAUCCGGUGGUGCCGAGUGGAAGGGCCAUCGCUCAACGGAUAAAAGCUACCCUGGGGAUAACAGGCUAAUCUCUCCCAAGAGUCCAUAUCGACGGGGAGGUUUGGCACCUCGAUGUCGGCUCAUCACAUCCUGGGGCUGAAGUAGGUCCCAAGG
Molecule: ribosomal RNA, 1174 nt
Filed under: human gut metagenome
Description: bacterial LSU rRNA
Rfam family: Bacterial large subunit ribosomal RNA
Source: RNAcentral